AUAGAGACUCAGAGCUGCAUAUCAAUAAGCGGAGGAAAAGAAACUAACAAGGAUUCCCUUAGUAACGGCGAGUGAGGCGGGAAGAGCUCAAAUUUGAAAUCUUCAAGGUUUUACCUUGACGAAUUGUAGUUUAAAGAAGUGUUUUCUGCUGAAGUUUUGGUAAAAGUUCUUUGGAAUAGGCAUCAUAGAGGGUGAGAAUCCCGUAUUUGACCAUUAUUUUCAGCUUUGUGAUACACUUUCAAAGAGUCGGAUUGUUUGGGAAUGCAGUCCAAAAUGGGUGGUAAAUUUCAUCUAAAGCUAAAUAUUGGCGAGAGACCGAUAGCGAACAAGUACCGUGAGGGAAAGAUGAAAAGAACUUUGAAAAGAGAGUUAAACAGUACGUGAAAUUGUCAAAAGGGAAGCGUUUGACACCAGUGUUGUUUUUCUGAAAAUCAAUUAAAGAACUGUUUAUGCUAAGUUGUUAUGACUUCAUCAGCUUGCUCCUGUUCAGUUUAUGAAGCUUUCUUUAAUGCACUUUUCAGUUAACAAGUCAACAUCAAUUUCUUUUGUUGUAAAAAGGGUAUGAGGAAGGUGGCUUGCGAUUCGUAUAAGUGUUUAUAGCCUCUGUGCCUCUGCAGUCGGAGAGAUUGAGGUCUGCAGCGUAGAUCCUUCGGGGUUAAAUAGCAUUUGUGCUAAGUUAUAGUCUUUCAUAGACAACUUGUUGACUAUAAUUAAGUCUUGUAACUUACUCGCUUACUGCUACUUUACCUACGCUUAGGAUGUUGAUGUGGUACUGCGAGCA
RNAcentral lists this ribosomal RNA (781 nucleotides) under uncultured Neocallimastigales. RNAcentral describes it as "partial large subunit ribosomal RNA". It matches the Rfam family "Eukaryotic large subunit ribosomal RNA", at positions 23 to 646 of the family's 3401-position model. Lineage: Eukaryota; Fungi; Neocallimastigomycota; Neocallimastigomycetes; Neocallimastigales. The record is from RNAcentral.